UGUGGCGACACAAAUUUAGUAGUAUGAGAUCAACUACUAAUCUACAAUUUUGUUAAAAGGUCUUAAAAUCUCUGCUAGUUUUAUAAUUCUCUUUCUUCUUGGUGAGUGACAUAACUUCCACAGUUGGGAGUAUAAAUAAGAGAGUGUAAUCACUCACAACGCAACUUUGGGGCGCUUAAACCAUCAAAAUUUGGGCUUUUGUUACGGACGCCUUCCAAGAUCUCUAUUCUUGCUCGCUCUCGCCAUUCUACUCCCAAAUGCAGUUCGAGAAAUCACAUCAGCAGUCAUAGUUUGUAGGUAAGGCAUUACAUCCAACUCACAAGAUCCUUCUACAGAGACCAUGCUUUCCCAUUUCCUAACCAUCUCGUUACAGCUGUGGUAGAAUGUUGGUACCAUAUCCUAUAAACCAAUGUAAAGGAUUGAUUAUCUUUCUGUGUUUGACCCAUUUUGGCCCUUCAUGAUUUAAAAGUCCAUCCGCAAGCAACUUGGCAAGGGGAUUCAAAUUCCUAGUUGGCUUUUGGAAAUCAUUGAUCAAUGAGAACACAAUUUUA
Molecule: long non-coding RNA, 551 nt
Organism: Benincasa hispida (wax gourd)
Lineage: Eukaryota; Viridiplantae; Streptophyta; Magnoliopsida; Cucurbitales; Cucurbitaceae
Source: RefSeq, a predicted model, not a curated record